AACGAACGUUGGCGGCGUGGAUUAGGCAUGCAAGUCGUACGCGAAAGAGGGGGCAACUCCUCGAGUAAAGACGGCGAACGGGUGAGUAACGCGUAGGAAACCUGCCUUCGAGAUGGGGAGUAACACUCCUAACGGGGUGCUAAUACCGAAUGACACUGCGGGAUCGCAUGGUUCUGCAGUCAAAGGUGGCCUCUGCUUGCAAGCUACCACUCAAAGAUGG
RNAcentral lists this ribosomal RNA (220 nucleotides) under uncultured bacterium. RNAcentral's name for it is "partial 16S ribosomal RNA". It matches the Rfam family "Bacterial small subunit ribosomal RNA", at positions 29 to 228 of the family's 1533-position model. The record is from RNAcentral.